GACGAACGCUGGCGGCGUGCUUAACACAUGCAAGUCGAACGGAAAGGCCCUGCUUGCAGGGUGCUCGAGUGGCGAACGGGUGAGUAACACGUGGGUGAUCUGCCCCUUACUUUGGGAUAAGCCUGGGAAACUGGGUCUAAUACUGGAUAGGACCAUGCUGUAGGUGGUGUGGUGGAAAGAUUAGUUUCGGUAAGGGAUGAGCUCGCGGCCUAUCAGCUUGUUGGUGGGGUAAUGGCCUACCAAGGCGUCGACGGGUAGCCGGCCUGAGAGGGUGGACGGCCACAUUGGGACUGAGAUACGGCCCAGACUCCUACGGGAGGCAGCAGUGGGGAAUAUUGCACAAUGGGCGCAAGCCUGAUGCAGCGACGCCGCGUGGGGGAUGACGGCCUUCGGGUUGUAAACUCCUUUCAGCCAUGACGAAGCCCUUGUGGUGACGGUAGUGGUAGAAGAAGCACCGGCUAACUACGUGCCAGCAGCCGCGGUAAUACGUAGGGUGCGAGCGUUGUCCGGAAUUACUGGGCGUAAAGAGCUCGUAGGUGGUCUGUCGCGUCAUUUGUGAAAGCCCGGGGCUUAACUCCGGGUUGGCAGGUGAUACGGGCAUGACUGGAGUACUGUAGGGGAGACUGGAAUUCCUGGUGUAGCGGUGAAAUGCGCAGAUAUCAGGAGGAACACCGGUGGCGAAGGUGGGUCUCUGGGCAGUAACUGACGCUGAGGAGCGAAAGCAUGGGUAGCGAACAGG
This 739-nucleotide ribosomal RNA is filed under the name uncultured Corynebacterium sp. RNAcentral's name for it is "bacterial SSU rRNA". It matches the Rfam family "Bacterial small subunit ribosomal RNA", at positions 28 to 776 of the family's 1533-position model. The record is from RNAcentral. Lineage: Bacteria; Bacillati; Actinomycetota; Actinomycetes; Mycobacteriales; Corynebacteriaceae.